Long non-coding RNA from Clupea harengus (Atlantic herring), 354 nucleotides. NCBI's taxonomy places the organism in Eukaryota, Metazoa, Chordata, Actinopteri, Clupeiformes, Clupeidae. The record is from Ensembl.
AGUUGCCACACUUCUCCGAUCUCUGUGGAGACUUUUUUUUUUUACCUUGGAGUAUGUCUGAGUAGGUAGGGUGGAGCAUGUCUGAGUAGGUUGGGUGGAGUAUGUCUGAAUAGGUUGGGUGGAGUAUGUCUGAGUAGUUUGGGUGGAGUAUGUCUGAGUAGGUUGGGUGGAGUAUGUCUGAGUAGGUUGGGUGGAGUAUGUCUGAGUAGGUUGGGUGACACUGUGAUACUCCACAGCAGUGGCAGCUGUCCAGGAGAGCACCUUCCUCGUAUGUGUCAUUUUGGGAGAUUAGGGGUCUUGUUCACCAGGUCAGGCGUCGUAGUUCAGGUGACAUCAGGCUACAGUUUCAGUGAU